AAACGAAACGACCGAAACCGUGGGAAUCAAAGUGAUGGCAAUUGAGUUUGACUCCAUUUUUGACUCCAGCUUCCCAUCCCUCUCCAUCGUCGCCACUACACAGUGACAGUGUGUGUUUGAGAGAUGGCUUAUGCUGCUUUGCUUCCUCUUAAGCAAUCGCUACACGCCCUUCUUAGUUCUGGUGCCAUUUCCCCUUUUCAAACCGUACAAUUGCUGGAAACGGCUCACGACGCCGUGAGGUCAUUACAACGAGUUCUGGAAAAAUCGGACGACACCGCCGGCAGCAAGAGGCUGGAUGCUUUGGAGGGACGAAUCCGAGAUGAAGCACAUAAAUUCGAUGAUGUUUUGGAGUUCUCAGAUACAAUUCUCUCAUCCCAUGGAAGUAUCGAAGAGAUCGAAUCGUUUAUUGCGACGGUGAAGAAGUUGGAAGGGGAAUACGUGAAAGAACUAGACACCCCGUCAUUGUCUGAAGAAGCCGCUGCUUCAACUACUGAUUUUAGUGCUAAGAUGGUCGGAUUAUCUCACGAAUUCGCAGAGAUCAAAGCAGAGGUGCUUAGCCGCAUGAGGCCGGAUGAUUUUGGUGUUUUCUCCAUCGUUGGGGCGGGCGGAGGGACGGGUAGGACGGGUGUCGCCAAGCAAGUUUUUGAUGAUUUAUGCGUUGCGAAUGAAGAGGCUUUCGACUGCGGUGGGUGGGCCCGCGUUGGCCCAAAUUAUGGAUGCAAGGACAUCCUCUUGAGCAUUGUUGCUCAAGUAGAUCCCGCCAUCCAUGAAUUUCUUGUUAUGGAAGGCGAAGACGAAGUAGCAGAGUAUCUGCACACAACUUUGAUGGGUCGUAGAUAUAUGAUUGUGCUAGAUGAUAUAUGCAGUAUAGAGGCGUGGGGCUCUCUGAAGAGGUCAUUUCCGGAGCAAGAUAAUGGAAGCCUAAUCUUGCUCACAACCACCCUAAUGGAAGUAGCUCAAUAUGCUGAGAGUUUUUAUAUUUAUGAAAUGGCCUCCUUCUUGACUGUAAACUACUGCUGGGACAUUCUUCGCAGUACAUUUUUUGGUUUAGAGGCAGAACUCGAGGAAGCUGGAAAGAAGAUUGCAGAGAAUUGUCGAGGCCUUCGCCUUGUGCUUGUUAAGGUUACACUGUUCUUACUUAUAACUGAGAGGACACCGGAGUUAUGGAAUAAGCUGGCUGCAGAUCGAGAAAGCUCAGUAUUCAUGGUUGCUGAUGAAUUAUCGGAGAUUUAUAAACUCAAACAAGUUCUUAGCAUUGUGGAUGACACAAGCUUAAGCCAAUUGAUGUUACCACUGAUUACAUUACCGACUCUAAAUCAGAAUUUGAAGAGCCAGAUGUUCCCAAAUAGAUUGAUUCCGAAAAUGGAAAUAAUGACGUUCUUUGGAAUGGCAGGUAUUGGCAAAACUCAUCUCAUCAAAAGAGUUCUCGAAGAGCAAUCUAUUUUAAAUCAUUUCGACCAUUAUGUGUGGAUUACCUUAGGCCUAAAAUACCAGUCUGAAGAAAUCUUGGUCGAUAUUCUGGCUCAAAUAUUUCCCCACUUUAACAAAAUGCAAAUUAAAGCAGACGAGAAACUAACUCAGGAUUUGUGCGGACAGUUAUCUCAUAAGCAAUGCCUCAUCGUUUUGGAUGAUGUAUGGUACGAAGAGCCCUUGCAUCUCUUGCAAAAGCUGUUUCAAAACAUCAAGGGUAAAACCUUGGUGACGACUAGGUUAGCAAAGGUAGCAAAUUUGGGCAAGAUUCACAAAAUGCGGCUGUUAAAUAAAGAAGAAAGUUGGUCUCUUUUCUGUCAGAAGGUGUUUGCUGAAGAAUCUUUCCCUCCUCAACUGAAGAAAGCUGGAAAGAUGAUCACUGAGAAUUGUGAAGGUCUUCCUCUUUUAAUCCUCGCAGUCGCUGACCUCUUAUCCAAAGUGGAGAAGACUAGAGAGUUCUGGAACAAGGUAGCAGAGAACAAAAACUAUGUUUUUAGGCGAGCACACGAUGAAACAUCCAAGGUACUGCUUCCGAGCUACGAGAGCUUACCUCACCACUUAAAAGCAUGCUUUCUGUACAUGGGAGUUUUCUCUGAAAACUAUGAGAUCUCAACCUCGAAGCUCAUUAACUUUUACAUUGCUGAGGGAUUCCUCGAACCAAAUGCGUCCCUAACGAUACGAGAUUUUGCUGCAAAAUGUUUAUCAGACCUUGUAGACAGAAGCCUUGUUAUGGCCUGCAAGGAGGGCUCAAAUUUUGGAAUCAAGACUUGCCGCCUCCAUUCUGUUUUUUGGUAUCUAUCCAACUCUGAAGCUGCGAAGAGCAAGUUUUUCCAUGCAUUGGAUAAAUACGCAGAUGUUUAUUCAGAUGGCAUGAAAGGUCGGCGCAGAUUGUGCAUCCGUAAUAGCACGUUAUUGGGCAUAAGAGAAACCCAAGACUCGAUUGCUUCCCUUUCAACUACUCGUUCUCUGCUAUGUGUUGGUCCACCUCAUCAAUACCCUGUUCCAAUAUGUUUAGUUGCAGAGCUGCUAAGGGUGUUGGAUGCUCUUACUAUCCGUUUCUACGAGUUCCCAGUUGAAGUAAAGAUGUACAUUCGUCUCAAAUACCUUGCUCUCACGUAUAACGGGGACCUCCCUUGCUCCAUAUCCACACUUUCGAGCCUUCGGUUCUUGAUCGUGACUCAACAUCUGAGCAUCAAAUCCUCUGAACAUUCAUCAUAUCUGCCGAUGGGAAUCUGGGAUAUGAAGGGAUUGGAGCACCUACAGGUCAUGGGAAGAGACUUGCCUAAACCCAAUCACGGUGCUAUAUUACCAAACCUUUCAACUCUGUCGGGUGUGGGUGUUCAAACUAUUACCAUGAGUGUUCUUGAGGGAAUCCCUAAUCUGAAAAAGCUGGGCAUUCGAAUUGAGUUGGCACCCGAUGACAAUCUCGUUGAUUCUCUCCAUUGCUUGAAUCGUAUUUCUUGUCUCCAGAAGCUGGAAUCACUUAAAUGUGUGGUCGUGAACCCGGAGCUGAGGUCCGAGGCUGUUCCCCCGCCUGCGCCUGUUACAAUGUUCCCGGCUUGCCUGAAGAAGUUGAGCUUGAGCGGGCUUGGAUAUCCGUGGGAGUACAUGAGCAUAAUUGGCGGGCUGCGAAAUCUGCAAGUGCUCAAGUUGAAAUGCUACGCGUUUGCAGGAGCAGAGUGGGAGACGGAUCCGUAUAGUUUCGCGGCGCUUAAGUUUCUGUUAAUCGAAGAUACUGAUCUGGUGCGAUGGAAGACCAAAUUUCGCAGCUUUAUGAAGCUCGAGUGUGUGAGCUUGAAGCAUUGCUAUGAAUUGGAUUUGGAAGAGGGCCCACAUCAUUUUCCGAGCUUGUCUUUUAGACUGAUUGAAGUGGUUGACUGUCCUUACACGGUGCGGCGAGAAAACGAGGGUUUCAGAAGGCCAACGGGUGCGGCGGAGCAGCUCAAACAUUCAAUCCAUUCUUCAUGGACGUCUGAUCGUAGGCUUAAUCAGUGAAUGCAAUUGGUUCAUAAGGUUAGUAACGUUAGUCGCUGUGAUACUCAUAAUUCUCUCUCUCAACCCAAAAAAAAAAAAAUGUUUUUCGUAGGUGAUAUAUAUAUAAUCACAAAAGCUAGUAGAAGAGCCGGAUAGGCUUUCAGCUUUCGACAUUUGAUGCUAUACAAUUUCACUGGCGAAAUUUGCAAAUGAGGCAUGUGUAGUGUAGGAAUACCUGAAGUGGUAAUUAGAUGCUGAAUUGUGGUUUACGUAAUUCAGUAAGCAUGCAAGAAGCAUGAUUUAAGCAAGACUUGGUGUUUUUUUUCGGUGCGUUUUUUUAUUUUUAUUUUCUCACAAAAACUUGUGACACUUUUUAUAAAUCAAAUAAGACCUUUUUUAAGAGAAAAUAAGAUUUUUCCUAAUAGGUAAUAAAUCAUUUUUUAAAUAGCAAAUAAUAAGACUUUAAGAAUUUUUAUUCGUAAAUGAGAUUUUUGUUCGAAUGUAAUUAAUACUUUUUUUCAUAAAAUCAAAUAAAAAUUUUCUUCAUAUCAAAUAAGAUUUUUUAUUUGUAAAUGAGAUUGGCUUGAAUGUCAAUAAUAUUUUUCAUUCAAUAAUAUUUUUCAUAAUAGUAAAUAAGACUUUUCGUAAUAUCAAAUAAAAUUUUAAGAUAUUUAUUUGUAAAUGAAAAUUUUUGCUUGAACGUAAAUAAUAAUUUUUCAUAAAAUCAAAUAACUUUUUUUAUAAAAUCAAAUAAGGUUUUUGAUAGGAGCAAACUCUACUGAAAACAAAUAAGACUUUAUAAAUAAAAUUUAUAAUAAAAAAUUUGUAGUAUAAUAGAUAAGACACUUGUUAAUCCAUAGAUCUAGGAUUUGAUACUCAACUUAAUCAGUCCAGCCUCACCCCGACCCGCGGCGGCUUGUGCCCAGUCUGCCCUCGGUUCUCUCCAAGUCCGGUCUCAUAUAUGAGACCGAUCUCAUGCAAGCAAGGGUGGAGCCAAGCCCCCGACGACAAGAGGGGCAAAAGUUUUUGCCUCUCUACAUGUUUUAAUUUUUAGUGGGCCAAGAUUAAAUAUUUUUAUGAUUUUAUAUACAUUAUAAUGUUGUAAUACCCUGAGUUUCAAUUCAGUGAUUAAGAGUAUAAUAUGAUUAAUUAGUAUUUUUGCAUCAUUUAUUUAAUUUAUUCUUGAAGCUAUUUGAUAAUUACUAAUUGUUGGAUUUCUUUAAGAUUAUAGAUUUGAAGAGGAUGGAUUAGAAUAUUUCUUAAUCGACUUUGGUUCGAUUUAAUGAAGUAACGAUUGUUAUUGAAUUAGUAAGUUAUGAAAAUAGCUUACUAAUUUAAUUAGUUUUUAUUUAUGAUAAGAGGUUAAAGAAAAAGAAAAUGUAGUGGACGUUUUUUUUUUUGUGUUUUUGGUUAAGUGUUAGUUUGAUUAAUUAGAUAGAUACUUGUUAGUUGUAAAAAAAAAAAAAGGAAAAAAAAUUGAGUCAGAUAUUUUAUCUUUCCUCCCCCAUAAUACGCAGCCACCCUUUUCUCUUCUACUCUCUUUCUCCAGAUCAGAUCCUCUGUCCUAGAAUAUUGUGUGUACCACGUGUACCACUCUUCAUUUCUUUGUUUUACAAAUUGUUUUUUAUAAAAAUAAAAAUUAUUAUUAUAUUAUAAACUCUAAUUAGUAUUUAUUAUUGAAAAAUUAAAAUUUAAAAAAUUAUAUACCCUAACUUUGAAUUAAUGAACCCAAAUAAUCUAUUAUUAAUUCAAAUAAAUAUAAAAAAAUAAUUAUAAACCCUAAAUGGAUGAGUGAACCCUUGUUAAUUAUCUUUAUAUUAUAUAAAAGCAUAAUAAAUUAAAAUUGAAUAAAAAAUAAUUUAAAAUUUUAAAGAAAUGAAGAGUGGUACACACUAUAUUUUGGGACAGAGGAUCCCAUUCGCUCUUUCUCGCUUAAACACACAGAAGCCAUAGGAGCAGAAGUCUCAAGCCUUGAAGCUCUGAUUUGAAGCCCUAAUUUCGGUGCGAUCACGUUUUCGAACACAGAUUUAGUAACGGUCCAAGGGAAGGAGGGGACGCGUGCCUACUAACUUAAGGACGUAACGAGGUUGAGCUGAUGAGGUGAUGGAGCUGUGCUGAGCGGAAUAUCUCUGGGUUGUUAAUAAAUAAUAAGUUCACGUGUCUAAUAUAUGUCUUCAUACAUGUAACUAGCUAUGUAUUCUGCUGCAAAACUUUGGUGUAUCCUUAUAUUAUAAAACAAUAAGUCUUUGAUAUGUGGGGUCACUUUGAGAACCUGUAUAACUUAUAUUUUGAAGGUUAGAUUAUAUAUGUACCUUUUCGACUUCUA
Salvia miltiorrhiza (redroot sage) is the source of this 5770-nucleotide RNA transcript. It is a transcript of the gene named putative late blight resistance protein homolog R1A-10, with no coding region annotated. The record is from RefSeq and is a predicted model, not a curated record. The transcript is spliced from 4 exons. Lineage: Eukaryota; Viridiplantae; Streptophyta; Magnoliopsida; Lamiales; Lamiaceae.